Molecule: transfer RNA, 77 nt
Filed under: Chloroflexota bacterium
Lineage: Bacteria; Bacillati; Chloroflexota
Description: Chloroflexi bacterium (sediment metagenome) tRNA-Val
Rfam family: tRNA
About the family: Transfer RNA (tRNA) molecules are approximately 80 nucleotides in length. Their secondary structure includes four short double-helical elements and three loops (D, anti-codon, and T loops).
Source: RNAcentral
GGGCGGGUAGCUCAGUUGGUUAGAGCAUCGCGUUGACAUCGCGAAGGUCGUAGGUUCGAGUCCUAUCUCGCCCACAA